Long non-coding RNA from Eptesicus fuscus (big brown bat), 870 nucleotides. RefSeq lists it as uncharacterized. The transcript has 2 exons. The record is from RefSeq and is a predicted model, not a curated record. Lineage: Eukaryota; Metazoa; Chordata; Mammalia; Chiroptera; Vespertilionidae.
CCAUGCGGGACGUGAAAGGGAUUCCUACAUUCUGGCGCCCGAACAGGGACUUCUGGAGGAGAAGGUAUUUUUUGCCUAAGAGCGAAGGAAGGAAAAAAUUACACUGAGAAAAGGUGUGGAUAAUUCACCGGAAAAAGGUGAGGAAAGUUCACCGCACGCAAAAGCCCACGUCCAGCUGCAGAGUCGUGAACUAAAACAACUCCAAGACCAUGUGGAUUCCUGCAACAGAGAGGAAUUGACAGGAAUGCUCCAGCCAUGAAGACAAGAGGAGAAACAGUCCAGAGAUGGAAGACGCUGACGACGCUCUGCCAUGCUAGCAGUCAGUGGAUGUGCGUCACUGCAGGUUGCCCAGGACCAAACCAGAGGUCGGACCUGCAUUACCACCAUCUGUCCACCAUCCAGAUACCAUUGCUGACAUGUUCUCAAAAAACUGUUGGGACAUUGAAACUGGGAUUCAAAAACUGUUGGCCCAGAAAGAAACUUACUGCAGACUGAUUUCAUUUGACUCUCAGCAUAGCCAUUGUUGCUUGUAUCAUUUUUUGUUCUUAUAUGUUUAUUUCUAGUCUGCAUAUGCAAGAUUUUUUAAGAAAAGAAAACGAGGGAGAUGCCGGAAACAAAUCAGUUUCACUAAAAGAGAGAUGCUGACAGGAAGCCAACAACCUUAUUGCUCUAACCACUCACCCUUUAGUUGAGAUAUUGUUAGCUGAAGCAGCCUCCACCUUUGUUUGUCCCAUGUAAGUUUCUGUUUAUCUUGCCUAAGAUGUUUUCCCGAAAGCCUCAAUAAAAGGGAUGGCAGGGCCAGAGCAGUGAGUAGUUCUCCCACUAGAGGUGGACUACCACCUGGCCCCCCAUAUCACCAAAUUGAAUUUC